AUGCAGUCGAGCGGAUGAGGGAGCUUGCUCCUGGAUUCAGCGGCGGACGGKUGAGUAAUGCCUAGGAAUCUGCCUGGUAGUGGGGGAUAACSUCCGGAAACGGGCGCUAAUACCGCAUACGUCCUGAGGGAGAAAGUGGGGGAUCUUCGGACCUCACGCUAUCAGAUGAGCCUAGGUCGGAUUAGCUAGUUGGUGGGGUAAAGGCCUACCAAGGCGACGAUCCGUAACUGGUCUGAGAGGAUGAUCAGUCACACUGGAACUGAGACACGGUCCAGACUCCUACGGGAGGCAGCAGUGGGGAAUAUUGGACAAUGGGCGAAAGCCUGAUCCAGCCAUGCCGCGUGUGUGAAGAAGGUCUUCGGAUUGUAAAGCACUUUAAGUUGGGAGGAAGGGCAGUAAGUUAAUACCUUGCUGUUUUGACGUUACCAACAGAAUAAGCACCGGCUAACUUCGUGCCAGCAGCCGCGGUAAUACRAAGGGUGCAAGCGUUAAUCGGAAUUACUGGGCGUAAAGCGCGCGUAGGUGGUUCAGCAAGUUGGAUGUGAAAUCCCCGGGCUCAACCUGGGAACUGCAUCCAAAACUACUGAGCUAGAGUACGGUAGAGGGUGGUGGAAAUUUCCUGUGUAGCGGUGAAAUGCGUAGAUAUAGGAAGGAACACCAGUGGCGAAAGGCGACCACCUGGACUGAUACUGACACUGAG
Molecule: ribosomal RNA, 700 nt
Filed under: Pseudomonas aeruginosa
Lineage: Bacteria; Pseudomonadati; Pseudomonadota; Gammaproteobacteria; Pseudomonadales; Pseudomonadaceae
Description: bacterial SSU rRNA
Source: RNAcentral